RNAcentral lists this ribosomal RNA (650 nucleotides) under uncultured archaeon. RNAcentral describes it as "bacterial SSU rRNA". It matches the Rfam family "Archaeal small subunit ribosomal RNA", at positions 151 to 787 of the family's 1478-position model. The record is from RNAcentral.
GGUCGAUCGUGAGACGCCUGGAUGGUCUUUCACUUAAAGGAGGUUGGGAACAUGCUUUCAACUUUGCCUAAGGAUGGGACUGCGGACGAUCAGGUUGUUGGUAGGGUAACGGCCUACCAAGCCUAUAACCGAUACGGGCCCUGAGAGGGGUAGCCCGGAGAUGGGAACUGAGACAAGGUCCCAGGCCCUACGGGGCGCAGCAGGCGCGAAAACUCCACAAUGCACGAAUGUGUGAUGGGGUUAACCCGAGUGCUGUCCGAAAAGGAUAGCUUUUCCUCAUCCUAACAAGCUGAGGGAAUAAGAGGGGGGCAAGACUGGUGUCAGCCGCCGCGGUAAUACCAGCUCCUCGAGUGGUGGGGACGAUUAUUUAGCCUAAAGCGUUCGUAGCCGGCUUAGCAAGUCCUUCGUGAAAUCCAGCGAUCCAAUCGUUGGGCGUGCGAUGGAUACUGUUAGGCUAGGAGGCGGGAGAAGUCGACGGUAGUCCCGGGGUAGGGGUGAAAUCCUAUAAUCCUGGGAGGACCACCAGUGGCGAAGGCGGUCGACUAGAACGCGCUCGACGGUGAUGGACGAAAGCUGGGGGAGCGAACCGGAUUAGAUACCCGGGUAGUCCCAGCUGUAAACGAUGCGAGCUAGGUGUUGGGACAGCUACG